Molecule: ribosomal RNA, 448 nt
Filed under: uncultured bacterium
Lineage: Bacteria
Description: bacterial SSU rRNA
Rfam family: Bacterial small subunit ribosomal RNA
Source: RNAcentral
GUCCAGACUCCUACGGGAGGCAGCAGUGGGGAAUAUUGCACAAUGGGGGAAACCCUGAUGCAGCAACGCCGCGUGAGUGAUGACGGCCUUCGGGUUGUAAAGCUCUGUCUUCAGGGACGAUAAUGACGGUACCUGAGGAGGAAGCACCGGCUAACUCCGUGCCAGCAGCCGCGGUAAUACGGGGGGUGCAAGCGUUGUCCGGAAUCAUUGGGCGUAAAGCGUUCGUAGGCGGCAAGGUAAGUCUGAUGUUAAAGCCCGGGGCUCAACUCCGGUUCGGCAUUGGAUACUAUCUAGCUAGAAUGUGGUAGAGGUAAAGGGAAUUCCUGGUGUAGCGGUGAAAUGCGUAGAUAUCAGGAGGAACAUCGGUGGCGAAAGCGCUUUACUGGACCAUUAUUGACGCUGAGGAGCGAAAGCCAGGGGAGCAAAUGGGAUUAGAUACCCGUGUAUC